Molecule: ribosomal RNA, 524 nt
Filed under: uncultured bacterium
Lineage: Bacteria
Description: partial 16S ribosomal RNA
Rfam family: Bacterial small subunit ribosomal RNA
Source: RNAcentral
GACGAACGCUGGCGGCGUGCCUAAUACAUGCAAGUCGAGCGCAGGAAACUGACGGAACUCUUCGGAGGGAAGGCAGCGGAAUGAGCGGCGGACGGGUGAGUAACACGUAAGGAACCUGCCUCAAGGAUUGGGAUAACUCCGAGAAAUCGGAGCUAAUACCGGAUAGUUCACCGGACCGCAUGGUCGGUUGAUGAAAGGCGCUCCGGCGUCACCUUGAGAUGUCCUUGCGGGGCGUUAGCUAGUUGGUGGGGUAACGGCCCACCAAGGCGACGAGGCAUAGCCGACCUGGAAGGGUGAUCGGCCACACUGGGACUGAGACACGGCCCAGAUUCCUACGGGAGGCAGCAGUAGGGAAUCUUCCACAAUGGACGCAAGUCUGGUGGAGCAACGCCGCGUGAGUGAUGAAGGUUUUCGGAUCGUAAAACUCUGUUGUAAGGGAAGAACACGUACGAGAGGAAAUGCUCGUACCUUGACGGUACCUUACGAGAAAGCCACGGCUAACUACGUGCCAGCAGCCGCGGUAA